GUUGAAGUAGUUUAAUUAAAACCUUAGAUUGUGAUUCUAAAAAUAAAGGUUCAACCCCUUUCAUCCACC
RNAcentral lists this transfer RNA (69 nucleotides) under Dario dayingensis. RNAcentral's name for it is "tRNA-His". It matches the Rfam family "tRNA". Rfam says of the family: Transfer RNA (tRNA) molecules are approximately 80 nucleotides in length. Their secondary structure includes four short double-helical elements and three loops (D, anti-codon, and T loops). Further hydrogen bonds mediate the characteristic L-shaped molecular structure. tRNAs have two regions of fundamental functional importance: the anti-codon, which is responsible for specific mRNA codon recognition, and the 3' end, to which the tRNAs corresponding amino acid is attached (by aminoacyl-tRNA synthetases). tRNAs cope with the degeneracy of the genetic code in two manners: having more than one tRNA (with a specific anti-codon) for a particular amino acid; and 'wobble' base-pairing, i.e. permitting non-standard base-pairing at the 3rd anti-codon position. Lineage: Eukaryota; Metazoa; Chordata; Actinopteri; Anabantiformes; Badidae. The record is from RNAcentral.